GGUCUUGUAGCUCAAUUGGUUAGAGCGUCGGUUGAGGGUUCAAGCCCCUCCGAGACCA
RNAcentral lists this transfer RNA (58 nucleotides) under Hordeum vulgare subsp. vulgare (domesticated barley). It matches the Rfam family "tRNA". From Rfam's summary of the family: Transfer RNA (tRNA) molecules are approximately 80 nucleotides in length. Their secondary structure includes four short double-helical elements and three loops (D, anti-codon, and T loops). Further hydrogen bonds mediate the characteristic L-shaped molecular structure. tRNAs have two regions of fundamental functional importance: the anti-codon, which is responsible for specific mRNA codon recognition, and the 3' end, to which the tRNAs corresponding amino acid is attached (by aminoacyl-tRNA synthetases). tRNAs cope with the degeneracy of the genetic code in two manners: having more than one tRNA (with a specific anti-codon) for a particular amino acid; and 'wobble' base-pairing, i.e. permitting non-standard base-pairing at the 3rd anti-codon position. Lineage: Eukaryota; Viridiplantae; Streptophyta; Magnoliopsida; Poales; Poaceae. The record is from Rfam by way of RNAcentral.